This 500-nucleotide ribosomal RNA is filed under the name uncultured bacterium. RNAcentral's name for it is "partial 16S ribosomal RNA". It matches the Rfam family "Bacterial small subunit ribosomal RNA", at positions 30 to 523 of the family's 1533-position model. The record is from RNAcentral.
AUUGAACGCUGGCGGCAGGCCUAACACAUGCAAGUCGAGCGGAUGAGAGGAGCUUGCUCUUCGAUUCAGCGGCGGACGGGUGAGUAAUGCCUAGGAAUCUGCCUAGUAGUGGGGGACAACGUUUCGAAAGGAACGCUAAUACCGCAUACGUCCUACGGGAGAAAGUGGGGGAUCUUCGGACCUCACGCUAUUAGAUGAGCCUAGGUCGGAUUAGCUAGUUGGUAGGGUAACGACCUACCAAGGCGACGAUCCGUAACUGGUCUGAGAGGAUGAUCAGUCACACUGGAACUGAGACACGGUCCAGACUCCUACGGGAGGCAGCAGUGGGGAAUAUUGGAUAAUGGGCGAAAGCCUGAUCCAGCCAUGCCGCGUGUGUGAAGAAGGCCCUCGGGUCGUAAAGCACUUUAAGUUGGGAGGAAGGGCUUACAGCGAAUACCUGUGAGUUUUGACGUUACCGACAGAAUAAGCACCGGCUAACUUCGUGCCAGCCGCCGCGGUAG